RNAcentral lists this ribosomal RNA (253 nucleotides) under uncultured bacterium. RNAcentral's name for it is "partial 16S ribosomal RNA". It matches the Rfam family "Bacterial small subunit ribosomal RNA", at positions 83 to 334 of the family's 1533-position model. The record is from RNAcentral.
AGAGAAUUCCUAGUGGCGAACGGGUGAGUAACGCGUUGGUGACCUGCCCCAAAGAAGGGGAUAACAGUUCGAAAGGACUGCUAAUACCCUAUGUUAUCAGUUGGAUUAGAAGCCUACUGAUUAAAGGAGUAAUCCGCUUUGGGAGGGACCUGCGUCCCAUCAGCUAGUUGGUAGGGUAACGGCCUACCAAGGCAAUGACGGGUAGGGGACCUGAGAGGGUGGCCCCCCACAAUGGCACUGAAACACGGGCCAU